This 2075-nucleotide ribosomal RNA is filed under the name human metagenome. RNAcentral describes it as "bacterial LSU rRNA". It matches the Rfam family "Bacterial large subunit ribosomal RNA", at positions 3 to 2106 of the family's 2925-position model. The record is from RNAcentral.
UCAAGUUACAAAGGGCGCAGGGCGGAUGCCUUGGCACCAGGAGCCGAAGAAGGACGUGAUAAGCUGCGAAAAGCUGCGGGGAGGAGCAAAUAUCCAUUGAUCCGCAGGUAUCCGAAUGGGGAAACCCGGCAGAAAGAACUUCUGUCACCGUAUGAUGAAUCCAUAGUCAUACGGAGGGAACCCGGCGAACUGAAACAUCUAAGUAGCCGGAGGAAGAGGAAGAAACAUCGAAUCCCUAAGUAGUGGCGAGCGAAAGGGGACGAAGCCCAAACCAAGGAUUUAUCCUUGGGGUUGAGGACCACAUACGAAGAAGCAGUAGGUAGCAGAACGGUUUUGGGAAAGCCGGCCAAAGAGAGUGAAAGCCUCGUAUGCGAAACAGACUGUGAUUCAGUGGUAUCCGGAGUACUACGGGACACGAGAAACCCCGUAGGAAGCAGGGGGGACCACCCCCCAAGGCGAAAUACUACCUGGUGACCGAUAGAGUAUAGUACCGUGAGGGAAAGGUGAAAAGAACCCCGGGAGGGGAGUGAAAGAGAACCUGAAACCCUGUGUCUACAAGCUGCGGAAGAGCGACUAACGCUCGACCGUGUACUUUUUGUAGAACGGUCCGGCGAGUUGCCGUUGCUGGCAGGUUAAGUACUUAAGGUACGGAGCCGAAGGGAAACCAAGUCUUAAUAGGGCGGUAAGUCAGUAACGGCAGACCCGAAACCGGGUGAUCUACCCAUGGCCAGGAUGAAGUCUGCGUAAAAGUGGAUGGAGGUCCGAACACACGUCUGUUGAAAAAGGCGGUGAUGAGCUGUGGGUAGCGGAGAAAUUCCAAUCGAACUCGGAGAUAGCUGGUUCUCCCCGAAAUAGCUUUAGGGCUAGCCUCGGUAUAGUCUAAUGGAGGUAGAGCACUGAAUCGCUGCGGGGGCGUCAAAGUCUACCAAUGCGUAUCAAACUCCGAAUGCCAUAUAGAUGUUUACCGGGAGUCAGACUGUAUGAGAUAAGUCGGACAGUCAAAAGGGAAACAGCCCAGACCAUCUGCUAAGGUCCCAAAGUGUAUGUUAAGUGGUAAAGGAUGUGGGGUUUCGAAGACAACUAGGAUGUUGGCUCAGAAGCAGCCAUUCAUUCAAAGAGUGCGUAAUAGCUCACUAGUCGAGAGGUCCUGCGCCGAAAAUGUCCGGGGCUGAAACAUAACACCGAAGCAAUGGAAUAUACCGUAAGGUAUGUUGGUAGGGGAGCAUUGAUAACACGAAGAAGCGGUACCGUAAGGAGCCGUGGAGGGUUAUCAAGAGAGAAUGCCGGAAUGAGUAGCGAGAUGAAGGUGAGAAUCCUUCAGGCCGUAUAUCCAAGGUUUCCAGGGUAAAGCUGAUCUUCCCUGGGGAAGUCGGGACCUAAGCUCAGGCUGAGAAGCGUAGGCGAUGGACAACUGGUUGAUAUUCCAGUACCUCUGGCUAUCAGAAAUGUGGGGACACGGAGAUUCAGGGAGUGCCUGUAAAGGAUUCAGGUGCAAGCAUGGUUUAUGCCGGGCAGGCAAAUCCGUCCGGGUAAGUGAACUGUGUGAUGCGGACCGAAAUAUAAGUAGGGAAGCUCCUGGGAGAGCCGUCGAGAAAAGCCGCUAUUGUGUAGUCAGAGCCCGUACCGUAAACCGACACAGGUGGAUGGGGAGAGUAUCCCAAGGCCGGCGGGAGAAGCAUUGUUAAGGAACUCGGCAAAAUGGCCCCGUAAGUUCGCGAUAAGGGGUGCCUGUAGAGAUACAGGCCGCAGAGAAUAGGCUCAAGCAACUGUUUAGCAAAAACACAGGUCUAUGCGAAACCGUAAGGUGAUGUAUAUGGGCUGACGCCUGCCCGGUGCUGGAAGGUUACGGGGAGUGCUUAGGAGUAAUCCGAAGGUACGAACUUAAGCCCCAGUAAACGGCGGCCGUAACUAUAACGGUCCUAAGGUAGCGAAAUUCCUUGUCGGGUAAGUUCCGACCCGCACGAAAGGCGUAAUGAUUUGAGCGCUGUCUCAACAAUGCACCCGGUGAAAUUGAAGUACCAGUGAAGAUGCUGGUUACCUGCGCCAGGACGGAAAGACCCCAUGGAGCUUUACUC